GACGAACGCUGGCGGCGUGCUUAACACAUGCAAGUCGAACGGAAAGGCCCUGCUUUUGUGGGGUGCUCGAGUGGCGAACGGGUGAGUAACACGUGAGUAACCUGCCCUUGACUUUGGGAUAACUUCAGGAAACUGGGGCUAAUACCGGAUAGGAGCUCCUGCUGCAUGGUGGGGGUUGGAAAGUUUCGGCGGUUGGGGAUGGACUCGCGGCUUAUCAGCUUGUUGGUGGGGUAGUGGCUUACCAAGGCUUUGACGGGUAGCCGGCCUGAGAGGGUGACCGGCCACAUUGGGACUGAGAUACGGCCCAGACUCCUACGGGAGGCAGCAGUGGGGAAUAUUGCACAAUGGGCGGAAGCCUGAUGCAGCAACGCCGCGUGCGGGAUGACGGCCUUCGGGUUGUAAACCGCUUUCGCCUGUGACGAAGCGUGAGUGACGGUAAUGGGUAAAGAAGCACCGGCUAACUACGUGCCAGCAGCCGCGGUGAUACGUAGGGUGCGAGCGUUGUCCGGAUUUAUUGGGCGUAAAGGGCUCGUAGGUGGUUGAUCGCGUCGGAAGUGUAAUCUUGGGGCUUAACCCUGAGCGUGCUUUCGAUACGGGUUGACUUGAGGAAGGUAGGGGAGAAUGGAAUUCCUGGUGGAGCGGUGGAAUGCGCAGAUAUCAGGAGGAACACCAGUGGCGAAGGCGGUUCUCUGGGCCUUUCCUGACGCUGAGGAGCGAAAGCGUGGGGAGCGAACAGGCUUAGAUACCCUGGUAGUCCACGCUGUAAACGGUGGGUACUAGGUGUGGGGUCCAUUCCACGGGUUCCGUGCCGUAGCUAACGCUUUAAGUACCCCGCCUGGGGAGUACGGCCGCAAGGCUAAAACUCAAAGGAAUUGACGGGGCCCCGCACAAGCGGCGGAGCAUGCGGAUUAAUUCGAUGCAACGCGUAGAACCUUACCUGGGUUUGACAUGGAUCGGGAGUGCUCAGAGAUGGGUGUGCCUCUUUUGGGGUCGGUUCACAGGUGGUGCAUGCCUGUCGUCAGCUCGUGUCGUGAGAUGUUGGGUUAAGUCCCGCAACGAGCGCAACCCUUGUUCACUGUUGCCAGCACGUUAUGGUGGGGACUCAGUGGAGACCGCCGGGGUCAACUCGGAGGAAGGUGGGGAUGACGUCAAGUCCUCAUGCCCCUUAUGUCCAGGGCUUCACGCAUGCUACAAUGGCCGGUACAGAGAGUGGCGAGCCUGUGAGGGUGAGCGAAUCUCGGAAAGCCGGUCUCAGUUCGGAUUGGGGUCUGCAACUCGACCUCAUGAAGUCGGAGUCGCUAGUAAUCGCAGAUCAGCAACGCUGCGGUGAAUACGUUCCCGGG
This 1343-nucleotide ribosomal RNA is filed under the name uncultured bacterium. RNAcentral describes it as "16S ribosomal RNA". It matches the Rfam family "Bacterial small subunit ribosomal RNA", at positions 28 to 1378 of the family's 1533-position model. The record is from RNAcentral.